UCCGGCAAUAAUGGCGAGAAGGCCACACCCGUUUCCAUCCCGAACACGGAAGUUAAGCUUCUCAGCGCCGAUGGUAGUUGGGGGUUCCCCCUGCGAGAGUAGGACGUUGCCGGGC
This 115-nucleotide ribosomal RNA is filed under the name Heyndrickxia acidiproducens. Lineage: Bacteria; Bacillati; Bacillota; Bacilli; Caryophanales; Bacillaceae. The record is from RNAcentral.